AAACAAAAAAAAAAAAGAAAAAGAAAAAGAAAAAAAAAAAAUAUAUAUUUAUAUAUAUAUAUGAAAAAAAACAGUUCCCUCUCACCUCAUAAGAAAAAAAUAAACAAUGGACCAUUAUAAAUAAGAACAAAAUAAAAUCGAAAAAAAAUAAAAAUAAAAUAAAUAAAUAAAUAAAUAAGUUUUUACAUACAUAGAAAACGAGUUAUAAAUAUUUUUAACAUAUAUAUAUAUAUAUAUAAAUAUAAAUAAAACGCUUGGAAAAAAAAAGAGAAAGUGUUUUUACAAAGAAAACAAAUUAUAAUUUCUUUUUCAUAUAUAUAUAUAUAUAUAUCAACAUAAAUCUCUUGUAAACAAAAAUAUAAUGAACAGCAUUUGAAUAUUUCUCAUAUAUAUAUGUAUAUGCUAUUAUAUAAUUUAAUUGCUGUAUUUGUAAUGCUUGUACAGUUAUUUAUAUUUUGUAUUGUAUACAUACAUAAAUUAUACUUAUAGAUAAAAAAUUCAAAAGUAAAGUGCGUCAUUCGUUACAGCAAAUAGUUAAUUUUUUUAUAAUUAUACAUGUAAAAACAUAACAAAUGCCAAUUAUAGAUAGAUAUAUAUAUAUAUAUAUAUAUAUAUAUUAUUUAUUUAUAAACUAUUUACUUUUAAACAACUAUACAUGUAGUUCAAGUAAUACAUUUUUUAUUAUUAAUAAUAUACAUUUAAAAAGAUUAUUUAUACAAUAUAAACAAGCGCAUGUAUAAUGUAUAUAUUAUCCCCUUUUUUUUUUUAUUUAAAACAAUAACAUAAAUAACAUAAAUAACAUAAAUAACAAAAAAACCAAAAAAAAGAAAAAAAAAAACAAAAAAAAAAAAAAAAUAGUAAAAAAUGGCACUCUUCAAACCUAUAACAUUAACAAGGAAUAAAAAUAAAAUAUGUGACAUCGACCAGAGUUUGAUUAAGUUCAAUAUUAUGACACAAGGAUAUGAAGAAGGAUGUGUUAUAAAGUCUAUAAGUAUAUGUAAGGAAUAUGUCGCUUUAAGUAAAAACGCAUUGGUAAUAGUAGCUUGUGUAAAAAGCGGUAUGAAAAGAAAACAACAGUGCAAGGAGAAUGUGAGUAAAUUAAAAUUCCGAGAUAGUAAUAUGUUAGGAAUUGGUAUGGAAAAUGGUGAUAUCGAUUUAUUAGGUGUUGGCCUUUUUGAUAUUAUAAAAAAAUUAAAAGGUCAUAAAUCAUCUAUUACAGAUUUAGUCUUUGACACAGAUUUUAGUAAAUUAUAUUCGUGUUCAAGAGAUUUCACCAUAAAAAUAUGGAAUAUAUGGGAAGGUUUAUGUAAAAACACGUUGGAUUAUCAUGUUGAUAAUGUAACAAGUAUUUGUUUAUUUAAUAAUAAUAAUAAUAAUAAUUAUUUAAUAAGUUCUGGUUAUGAUGGUUAUAUUUAUUUUUAUGACAACAAGUUAGAAAAACAAACAAAAAAAUUAGAAAUGGACGAACCUAUAGAAUGUUUCACAAUUUUUAAUAAUACCUACAUAGUUCUCGCAAUAAAAAACCGAAUUAAAAUAUAUACAGUAAAUAAUUUAGAACAUAUAAAAGACAUUUAUGUUUGUACUAAAACUAUUUUUUAUUUAAAUAGUUUUCAAGAUUAUCUUGUUGCAGGUUGUCUAGACAACACUAUUUAUGUUAUAAAUAUGUUUGUUACAAAACCGAAGGAAAUAAAUGUUUUAUCCACAAUUAAAUAUUGCAAAUUAUUAUCAUGCGUUGACGUAUAUGGCAAUAUUUUAUCCUUAGGAGGAGGAAACGGAAAUUGGUUUAUUUGUUUACAAGAUGAGAAAACAAAUAUAAAUUCCAAAAAAAAAGAUGAAAGUUUUUUCAACUGUUAUAAGGAUACAAAAUUUUCUUACCAAAGCCAUAAUAUAUCUAGUUUAGUUAAAAAAUUUAAAUUAAAUGAAGCUUUGAUGUCAUUAAUUAAGCAAGACCCUCGCGCUACAGUUUCCUUACUAGAAUAUUACUCCAAAAACCGUAUGUUACGUAUAGCAUGUAAAACACAUUCCAUAGAAGAUGUAGUGCGCGUCAUUCAAUAUAUAAGAAAAUAUUUUACAACAGAUGCUAUAAUAUCAGAGUUUUUCACAGAAUAUUUAGAUGUUAACCAAUGGAUAAACUCUACAACGAAUGAGAAGUUGUCAUAUGAAUUGUCACUGUUGCUUCGGGUUAUUCAAAACGAGAUGAACGUUAUUAACAAAUUUAAGGAAUUAAAAACUUUUACCGACGAUUUAUUUAAUAAUAGUCUAUAGUAUAACUUUGGAAUGCUUUAGUAUAUUAAUAUAUAUAUAUAUAUAUAUAUAUAUUAAUAUAUACGUUUUUUUGUGUUUGUGAACCGAAUUUUGUUUUUAUUAUUUGAUACCCUAGUUGUAUUUUUCAAUUAGUAUAAUUUACCAUUUUAAUUUAUCCGUCAAUGGAUUUUUUUUUUUUUUUUUUCUCUUUACUGAAUACUUGAAAUUAAUUUUUUAAAGGAUGUUUCUUAUUUCAAUUAUUUGAUUUGUUUGUGUUUAUAAAUCACUAAAAUUUGUAGAAUCUACUUAUUAAAUUCUAUUUAAUUUUUACAAAAACAAAAAAACAAGUAACAUAAAAAACGUUUUAAAUAAUAUUAUAUUAUACAUACAAGUAUAGGUGGUAUACCUUUAUUUUACUUCCGAAACGCACACACAUAUAUAUAUAUAUAUAUAUAUAUAUAUAUGUGUGUGUUCAUGUCAAAAAUAAUAUUUUAUUAUUCACUCCCAUCAUAAAAGUGAUACUUGUUUUAAAAAAAAAAAAAAAAAAUUUUUAUUUAUUUAAAAAAAAAACAAAUAAACAUGUAUGUUUGAAUUUGGAGAAAAAAAAA
This 2852-nucleotide long non-coding RNA is filed under the name Piliocolobus tephrosceles (Ugandan red Colobus). RNAcentral's name for it is "lncRNA (ENSPTEG00000000014.1)". Lineage: Eukaryota; Metazoa; Chordata; Mammalia; Primates; Cercopithecidae. The record is from RNAcentral.